RNAcentral lists this ribosomal RNA (253 nucleotides) under uncultured bacterium. Its description in RNAcentral is "partial 16S ribosomal RNA". It matches the Rfam family "Bacterial small subunit ribosomal RNA", at positions 524 to 776 of the family's 1533-position model. The record is from RNAcentral.
UACGGAGGGUGCAAGCGUUGCUCGGAAUUAUUGGGCGUAAAGGGUAGGUAGGUGGUCUUAUUUGUCUGGGGUGAAAGCCUUGAGCUUAACUCAAGAAGUGCCCCAGAAACGGUGAGACUGGAGUCCUGGAGAGGGUCGUGGAAUUCCCGGUGUAGCGGUGAAAUGCGUAGAGAUCGGGAGGAACACCAGAGGCGAAAGCGGCGACCUGGACAGGUACUGACACUCAACUACGAAAGCGUGGGGAGCAAACCGG